RNAcentral lists this long non-coding RNA (906 nucleotides) under Rattus norvegicus (Norway rat). RNAcentral's name for it is "long non-coding RNA NONRATT032394". The record is from RNAcentral. Lineage: Eukaryota; Metazoa; Chordata; Mammalia; Rodentia; Muridae.
AUGAUACACAAGAUUGAUUCGGAUACACUUAUAUGCCACACCAUCACACAGAGUUUUGCCAUGGGCUCAAUUUCCCCGAGAGACUUUAUCGACUUAGUACACAUCAAGCACCAGGACGGGAAUAUGGACAUUAUCAGUAGUAAGUUGAAACAUUUUGCCCGUGUUUUAGAAUUACUAUGUAUCAUUAAAAUUUUUUGCCUUUAAUUAUUAAUGUUAACAGUUUAGAAGAAACUGUAUUUUCAAUUCUUUUUUGUUUGUUUGUUAGUUGUUUGUUUGUUUAUUCAGUGCAACCAAAAAGCUUGUGUCCUAUACACAGGCCAGGUAUUGUGCCUAACACAUGAGGUGCUGUUUAGAAAGUUCCCCCUCCACAUUUGCAGUAUGAACCGUGAACUCAAUAGAGAUAGAUGACUGUAAGCUAAAACGUCAGUGUAUACAUUUGUAAUCCUAUAAAACAAAACUAGCUUUUAUAUAUGACUUUAUACUUGGCUUGUUGAAAAUAGGCAUGUAUAUAUUAAUUCUUACAGUACUAAGUGUAAAAUAUGAAAAUACUGAAUGAAUAGUGCUGGAUCGGUCACUCCUUAAAUGUACUAUUACUAUAUCUUCUCUAGGGAGUUCAAGUCUUGAUCUAACCCUGCACCUCUCUGCAGUAAUACGACUCUGUGACAUGCAAACGUAUCGUUUGCCAACUUGUGUUAUUGACCCAAAACUUCCUCACCCCAUCAGUUCGGACUCCGGAAGCUUAGGAUCACUAAGAGUACUUUGGCAGGAUAGUGGCGAAGGUCCCAGUUUCCCUCUUGAAUUUGAUUCCACCUUAUAAUUUCUAUCAGAAUGUUUCCUCUUCUGUAAGCUACUCAGAGAUAGACAGUGAAACUGCUUUAUUACUUGCCAUGGGAUGCAAUAUCUUAA